This 368-nucleotide transfer-messenger RNA is filed under the name bovine gut metagenome. It matches the Rfam family "transfer-messenger RNA". From Rfam's summary of the family: Bacterial tmRNA, also known as 10Sa RNA or SsrA, is named for its dual tRNA and mRNA-like properties. Its role is to liberate the mRNA from a stalled ribosome. The record is from RNAcentral.
GUUAUGGAUUCGCUGCACUGGAUAUGAUUGAGGUAAGCAUGUCGUAGUAGUCUACGUUAAAACGUCGAGGGUUAAAUAACCGCAAACACAAAUUUAUUUGCAUCUAAUAAUCAAGGUGCAUAUCAAUACGCUGCUUGCUAAUAUAAUGCAAGCCCGACUUAUUUAGUUUUCUUGUAGCUUUAUAAGUUUGUCAGAUACAAGAUAUAUUAAUAUUUUGCCGUCUUAAGAAUAUUAAAGAAUUUAAUAAGGCUAGUCAUUAGAGUAGUUGUUUGUUAAUAGCUAAUGAUGAAUUUUAUAACAAAAUAAGCAUGUAGAAAGCUUUGAAAGUGCCUUUGUAUACGGGAGUUCGAGUCUCCCCUGAUCCACCA